GACGAACGCUGGCGGCGUGCCUAAUACAUGCAAGUAGAACGCUGAAGAGAGGAGCUUGCUCUUCUUGGAUGAGUUGCGAACGGGUGAGUAACGCGUAGGUAACCUGCCUUGUAGCGGGGGAUAACUAUUGGAAACGAUAGCUAAUACCGCAUAACAAUGGAUGACACAUGUCAUUUAUUUGAAAGGGGCAAUUGCUCCACUACAAGAUGGACCUGCGUUGUAUUAGCUAGUAGGUGAGGUAACGGCUCACCUAGGCGACGAUACAUAGCCGACCUGAGAGGGUGAUCGGCCACACUGGGACUGAGACACGGCCCAGACUCCUACGGGAGGCAGCAGUAGGGAAUCUUCGGCAAUGGGGGCAACCCUGACCGAGCAACGCCGCGUGAGUGAAGAAGGUUUUCGGAUCGUAAAGCUCUGUUGUAAGUCAAGAACGAGUGUGAGAGUGGAAAGUUCACACUGUGACGGUAGCUUACCAGAAAGGGACGGCUAACUACGUGCCAGCAGCCGCGGUAAUACGUAGGUCCCGAGCGUUGUCCGGAUUUAUUGGGCGUAAAGCGAGCGCAGGCGGUUUGAUAAGUCUGAAGUUAAAGGCUGUGGCUCAACCAUAGUUCGCUUUGGAAACUGUCAAACUUGAGUGCAGAAGGGGAGAGUGGAAUUCCAUGUGUAGCGGUGAAAUGCGUAGAUAUAUGGAGGAACACCGGUGGCGAAAGCGGCUCUCUGGUCUGUAACUGACGCUGAGGCUCGAAAGCGUGGGGAGCGAACAGGAUUAGAUACCCUGGUAGUCCACGCCGUAAACGAUGAGUGCUAGGUGUUGGAUCCUUUCCGGGAUUCAGUGCCGCAGCUAACGCAUUAAGCACUCCGCCUGGGGAGUACGACCGCAAGGUUGAAACUCAAAGGAAUUGACGGGGGCCCGCACAAGCGGUGGAGCAUGUGGUUUAAUUCGAAGCAACGCGAAGAACCUUACCAGGUCUUGACAUCCCUCUGACCGCUCUAGAGAUAGAGUUUUCCUUCGGGACAGAGGUGACAGGUGGUGCAUGGUUGUCGUCAGCUCGUGUCGUGAGAUGUUGGGUUAAGUCCCGCAACGAGCGCAACCCCUAUUGUUAGUUGCCAUCAUUCAGUUGGGCACUCUAGCGAGACUGCCGGUAAUAAACCGGAGGAAGGUGGGGAUGACGUCAAAUCAUCAUGCCCCUUAUGACCUGGGCUACACACGUGCUACAAUGGCUGGUACAACGAGUCGCAAGCCGGUGACGGCAAGCUAAUCUCUUAAAGCCAGUCUCAGUUCGGAUUGUAGGCUGCAACUCGCCUACAUGAAGUCGGAAUCGCUAGUAAUCGCGGAUCAGCACGCCGCGGUGAAUACGUUCCCGGGCCU
Molecule: ribosomal RNA, 1369 nt
Filed under: uncultured bacterium
Lineage: Bacteria
Description: bacterial SSU rRNA
Rfam family: Bacterial small subunit ribosomal RNA
Source: RNAcentral